UGAUCAUUGAGGCUAUGGAACGAUACGAAGCAGAACGUAGAGAUGAUGACGAUGAAGAAGCCCUGGAAGUUCAUUCUGGUUCCAGUCACAUCUUCCGUUCGCAACGAUAAUGAGGUGACAAAUGGUUGUUAUUGAUGAAUUGGUAGAGAGCGACUGUUGCAUAGAGGUUUCAUGGCUUCAGUGAAGGUAAAAUGGUUGGAAGCUGUCCACAUGAACGUUGAUGGUGACAUAUUCACUUCUACAAUUUCAUGAAAGCAUCAGAGGGAAUGUUGCAUCUAACGUACAAUCUUUUAUGUUGCUCUUGGAAUGUUUUUAUACUGAGAUUUGUUUUUGGUGACAUUGAAGGCUGUUGAUCCACAUACAAAUUGUUAAGAGUGCGAGAAAACACAUAUUCUACUUGAAGACCAUCUUUCCUAUUAAUCCUCCUAAAGUCCAAAUGGUUUCAUCUAACCAUCAUGCCCUUAAGCAUUUCGGUAGAGCUUAUUGAAGGGGGAAAAUGUAAAGGGGUCCUCUCUUCCCUCAUUUCUGUCCAGAUUGGCCUGAGAAAAUGGUGAGGUCACUUGAAACUUCCUUUCAUUCCUAUGAACAACUGGAACUGUCUCCACCUCAAUGUAUCCCCACGUCCCCUAAGCCCCUACCAUUCUCCCUCAAAGAAAGCAUGAUUACAGCAAAGCAUGCCAAGUAAUUGGCACCUUGUAAAUUUGCUAACCCCUAAAAGAUCCUAAAUAUAAUUUUAA
Diospyros lotus (date-plum) is the source of this 737-nucleotide long non-coding RNA. RefSeq lists it as uncharacterized. The transcript is spliced from 3 exons. NCBI's taxonomy places the organism in Eukaryota, Viridiplantae, Streptophyta, Magnoliopsida, Ericales, Ebenaceae. The record is from RefSeq and is a predicted model, not a curated record.